Molecule: ribosomal RNA, 486 nt
Filed under: uncultured bacterium
Lineage: Bacteria
Description: partial 16S ribosomal RNA
Rfam family: Bacterial small subunit ribosomal RNA
Source: RNAcentral
AUUGAACGCUGGCGGCAUGCCUUACACAUGCAAGUCGAACGGCAGCACGGGUGCUUGCACCUGGUGGCGAGUGGCGAACGGGUGAGUAAUACAUCGGAACAUGUCCUGUAGUGGGGGAUAGCCCGGCGAAAGCCGGAUUAAUACCGCAUACGAUCUACGGAUGAAAGCGGGGGACCUUCGGGCCUCGCGCUAUAGGGUUGGCCGAUGGCUGAUUAGCUAGUUGGGGGGGUAAAGGCCUACCAAGGCGACGAUCAGUAGCUGGUCUGAGAGGACGACCAGCCACACUGGGACUGAGCCACGGCCCAGACUCCUACGGGAGGCAGCAGUGGGGAAUUUUGGACAAUGGGCGAAAGCCUGAUCCAGCAAUGCCGCGUGUGUGAAGAAGGCCUUCGGGUUGUAAAGCACUUUUGUCCGGAAAGAAAUCCUUGGCCCUAAUACGGUCGGGGGAUGACGGUACCGGAAGAAUAAGCACCGGCUAACUACGUG